AAAAAGGAUGUAGAAGAGUAGAAUAGCAUAAUUAACAAGCUUAACUAUAAAUGUAUAUAAAUCUAUACAUACAGACACAUUUCUCUUAUGCCAACAAAGACCAUACCCUCUUCUCAAACACAAACAGAAUAUCCACAAAAAUUGUUGCUAAGGUAGAACACAGAGAACAUCUUAAGAAAUUCCAAAAUCAAAAAAUCAGAUAAGCCACCUUUUCUGAACAGACUGCAGAAAAAAUCAAAGAAACUCUAGUAACGUGGAAAUUCAUGCUCCGAGUAGUGACAAGCCAGUGACUUUUUCUAUAGAAAGGGUACAAGACUCCAAUUUGAAAAUCUCAAGCAGCUUUAUAUUCAAGCAAGUUCAAUCCAAUCUCUUCCUGACUCACUGUCUCAUCAACAUGCAAAGCUCUCGAAGAGAAAUCAUCUCUUACUUGCCUGAGGGAGUUCUGGCAGACGUUUUGAAUGUGGAUGUGGAAGUUCUUUCCUCGUCUCCAUCCUGUCAAGAGCCGUGGAGCAAACAGCAGGAUGAGGAAGACAUGGAAGACAAAACUGAUAACGCACGUCACCUCGCUGCAGCGGGAGACAGAAUGUAACUUCAAUUCAGCCUCUUUGGGGUUUGGGUUCUGACCAAGUAAAUCGGGAAUGUUGUUAACAUA
This 652-nucleotide long non-coding RNA is filed under the name Homo sapiens (human). RNAcentral describes it as "HSALNT0353632". The record is from RNAcentral. Lineage: Eukaryota; Metazoa; Chordata; Mammalia; Primates; Hominidae.